RNAcentral lists this ribosomal RNA (254 nucleotides) under uncultured bacterium. Its description in RNAcentral is "partial small subunit ribosomal RNA". It matches the Rfam family "Bacterial small subunit ribosomal RNA", at positions 26 to 285 of the family's 1533-position model. The record is from RNAcentral.
AGGACGAACGCUGGCGGCGUGCUUAACACAUGCAAGUCGAGCGGAAAGGCCCUUCGGGGUACUCGAGCGGCGAACGGGUGAGUAACACGUGAGCAACCUGCCCUUAGCUCCGGGAUAGCUCCGGGAAACCGGAAUUAAUACCGGAUACGACCACGGCUGACAUCGGCUGUGGUGGAAAGGAUUUCCGGCUAAGGAUGGGCUCGCGGCCUAUCAGCUAGUUGGUGGGCAAUGGCCCACCAAGGCGACGACGGGUA